Molecule: ribosomal RNA, 457 nt
Filed under: uncultured bacterium
Lineage: Bacteria
Description: bacterial SSU rRNA
Rfam family: Bacterial small subunit ribosomal RNA
Source: RNAcentral
UACGGAAGGCAGCAGUGGGGAAUAUUGCACAAUGGGCGAAAGCCUGAUGCAGCUAUGCCGCGUGUAUGAAGAAGGCCUUAGGGUUGUAAAGUACUUUCAUCGGGGAGGAAAAAACAAAACUAAUAAUUUUAUUUCUUGACGUUACCCGAAAAAGAAGCACCGGCUAACUCCGUGCCAGCAGCCGCGGUAAUACGGAGGGUGCUAGCGUUAAUCAGAAUUACUGGGCGUAAAGAGCACGUAGGUGGUUUUUUAAGUUCAGAUGUGAAAUCCCUGGGCUUAACCUAGGAACUGCAUUUUGAAACUGAAAUACUAGAGUAUCGUAGAGGGAGGUAGAAUUCUAGGUGUAGCGGUGAAAUGCGUAGAUAUCUGGAGGAAUACCUGUGGCGAAAGCGGCCUCCUAAACGAAUACUGACACUGAGGUGCGAAAGCGUGGGGAGCAAAACAGGGAUUAGAUACC